GUAUAUUUGUGUAUUGACAGUACUACUUAAAGGAACACGCCGACUUAUUGGGACUUUAGCUUAUUCACAGUAACCCCCAGAGUUAGAUAAGUCCAUACAUACCCUUCUCAUCUCUGCGCGUGGUGUAACUCUGUCUGAGGCACCCAGCGCUAGCUUAGCCUAGCACGGAUCCUGGAGGUAACCUGCUCCAUCUAGCCUACUGCUCCCAAUAAGUGACAACAUAAUGCCAACAUGUUACUAUUUCCAUGUUGUGAUUUGUAUAGUCACAGCGUGUACAAAUA
Sander lucioperca (pikeperch) is the source of this 281-nucleotide long non-coding RNA. RefSeq lists it as uncharacterized. Lineage: Eukaryota; Metazoa; Chordata; Actinopteri; Perciformes; Percidae. The transcript has 3 exons. The record is from RefSeq and is a predicted model, not a curated record.